UACGUAGGGUGCAAGCGUUAUCCGGAAUUAUUGGGCGUAAAGCGCGCGCAGGCGGUCCUUUAAGUCUGAUGUGAAAGCCCACGGCUCAACCGUGGAGGGUCAUUGGAAACUGGGGGACUUGAGUACAGAAGAGAAGAGUGGAAUUCCACGUGUAGCGGUGAAAUGCGUAGAGAUGUGGAGGAACACCAGUGGCGAAGGCGACUCUUUGGUCUGUAACUGACGCUGAGGCGCGGCAGCGUGGGGAGCAAACAGG
Molecule: ribosomal RNA, 253 nt
Filed under: uncultured bacterium
Lineage: Bacteria
Description: partial 16S ribosomal RNA
Rfam family: Bacterial small subunit ribosomal RNA
Source: RNAcentral